AAUCAAGCAACGCGAAGAACCUUACCAGGUCUUGACAUCCUCUGCUACUUCUAGAGAUAGAAGGUUCCCUUCGGGGACAGAGUGACAGGUGGUGCAUGGUUGUCGUCAGCUCGUGUCGUGAGAUGUUGGGUUAAGUCCCGCAACGAGCGCAACCCUUGAUCUUAGUUGCCAGCAUUCAGUUGGGCACUCUAAGGUGACUGCCGGUGACAAACCGGAGGAAGGUGGGGAUGACGUCAAAUCAUCAUGCCCCUUAUGACCUGGGCUACACACGUGCUACAAUGGAUGAUACAAAGGGCUGCAAAACCGCGAGGUUAAGCCAAUCCCAUAAAAUCAUUCUCAGUUCGGAUUGUAGGCUGCAACUCGCCUACAUGAAGCCGGAAUCGCUAGUAAUCGCGGAUCAGCAUGCCGCGGUGAAUACGUUCCCGGGUCUUGUACACACCGCCCGUCACACCACGAGAGUUUGUAACACCCGAAGUCGGUGAGGUAACCUUUUGGAGCCAGCCGCCGAAGGUGGGACAGAUGAUUGGGGUG
Molecule: ribosomal RNA, 531 nt
Filed under: uncultured bacterium
Lineage: Bacteria
Description: bacterial SSU rRNA
Rfam family: Bacterial small subunit ribosomal RNA
Source: RNAcentral